RNAcentral lists this long non-coding RNA (199 nucleotides) under Gossypium raimondii (Peruvian cotton). Its description in RNAcentral is "long non-coding RNA (GRAI_LNC008524)". The record is from RNAcentral. Lineage: Eukaryota; Viridiplantae; Streptophyta; Magnoliopsida; Malvales; Malvaceae.
UUCUUUUGGCAUGUUGAUGAUGGUUUGAAAAUAGUUGCUUGUGACAUGAUUUAGUUCAUAUUUGAACUAGGUUAGUAUGUAUGGAAAUGAUAAUAUUAACAUGUUUUGGAUGUUUGAAUUUGUAUUUAGUGAAAGUGUAAAUGGAAAUUUUGUAAGUUUGAGCCUUGGUGUUUAUGUAUGGUUGAUGGACUUUUAAUUC